Molecule: ribosomal RNA, 252 nt
Filed under: uncultured bacterium
Lineage: Bacteria
Description: partial 16S ribosomal RNA
Rfam family: Bacterial small subunit ribosomal RNA
Source: RNAcentral
UACGUAGGGGGCGAGCGUUGUCCGGAUUUAUUGGGCGUAAAGAGCGUGUAGGCGGCUUGGUAGGUCUCGCGUCAAAACCUGCGGCUCAACCGCAGUUCGCGUGGGAAACCACCUAGCUAGAGUCCGGAAGAGGAGAACGGAAUUCCCAGUGUAGCGGUGAAAUGCGCAGAUAUUGGGAAGAACACCAGUGGCGAAGGCGGUUCCCUGGGACGGUACUGACGCUGAGACGCGAAAGCGUGGGGAGCGAACAGG